AUUAUGUACCACUCAAGAGCAGUCGCCUGUCUUUUCCUAGUCGCGAGCCUCCUAGUGAUAACAGAGGCAUCGACCGCCGUCGAUUCACCGGAAUCCGGAGUGUCUUGUGAACAGAUAACGGAGAAUAAUUCCAUUGACCCGUCAAGGGAUUCCAAUGUCCCUUUGAAAACGCACGAUUAUAAGGAAACGGGAGACGUAAGCACAACAACAAACUCUUAUCCCUUUGAAAACCUUCCGGAGCAAGACCGAUCAAUCAUUAACGCUCCAUUGAGGAAAUGUCCGAGGGGACAGCGUAGAAAUCCCCAGGGGUUAUGCAAAGAUUUACUCUGAAAACCCGGCUAAUUACGAUGACCAAUAAUUCAACAUGACCCGAAUAAGCGCCGAAGAGCUCCUCGAAAUCAUCCCCUGAAGUGGCUGAAAAACUUCGCUAGGAAAAAACCUCCCCUAUCCAUAAAUUAAAUUUGAUGAUCAAUUCCUCCGCAUAUAUUGAUCCCACGAAAAUGGCUAUUUUCACUUCUAUGCACUGUCACGUGUGUCUGUAGGGCAAAUGCAUUGUCACGGAGUCAGACCGAUCGAUAUAGGUAGGAAAAACGAGUCUCUCCAGCUGAAUCUGCCUCACCUAUAUUUUUCGGACCCUCUGAUACCCUCAAAACCCCCCACUAACUGCAUCAUUGUACCGAAUUUUAAUGUUAUCCAUGCGAGAAAUGAGUGUUUAAUUCUCAACAAUGCGAAAAAAAAUCCCCUCAAUUAUUGUCCCCGUUAAUGAUUCAUAAAAUUAAUGUAAAACUUGAAAAUUGUAACGCAAUAAGGAAAAUGCAAUAAAACCGUAAAGAUAACAGAACCUCUGGA
This is a long non-coding RNA of Diachasma alloeum, 849 nucleotides long. RefSeq lists it as uncharacterized. The record is from RefSeq and is a predicted model, not a curated record. Lineage: Eukaryota; Metazoa; Arthropoda; Insecta; Hymenoptera; Braconidae. The transcript is spliced from 2 exons.